Long non-coding RNA from Panonychus citri (citrus red mite), 2416 nucleotides. RefSeq lists it as uncharacterized. The transcript has 3 exons. The record is from RefSeq and is a predicted model, not a curated record. NCBI's taxonomy places the organism in Eukaryota, Metazoa, Arthropoda, Arachnida, Trombidiformes, Tetranychidae.
UGAAUUUCAAAUUUUUAAUUUUCUUCUUUUAAUUGAUUAAUUAAUUAAUUGGUUUCUUUUUUAGUUGAUUAAUUUGAUUGUUAAUCUCUUCGUUUGGUGAAUUUAAUUCUAUCUGGAUCUUAGCUUUGUUCUAAUUGGAACAAUUAUCAUUGAAAAUGGAUUUUUUUUUCUUCUGAAUUUGUCUAUGUGUUUGUCUCGCUCACCCAUUUGGUUUUAUUCAUCGAUGUUCCUGUUUCCAUGUUAUUCAGAGUAACGGAUUGAUGAUUCUAAAUACAAUUACCAAGAAGAAAACAAUAUGCUCGAUGGUUUAUGUAAACUAUUGAUGCCCUUAAGCCUUAUUCACGGGAAUGAUUGAGUAUUUAUGGUUUUGAUAACAAGAGUCAAGAUUAUCAAACAUGAGCCAUGAAAAUGACCUGAAUGUGAAUCAUCAAUAUCGAGAAAAUUGAAUGAAUAUUAAAGUCACCAAAUCAACAAUCAAAUCUAUUGGAUGGUGGAUAAUAUUAAAUGUAAAAAGAAAAUAACAAAAGAUUAUUACACAGUUUAUCAUCAAUUUUGGUGGACAAGUUAUCACCACCAAUCAUCAUCAUCAUCAUCAUCGUGGGCAAUACUAUCAAAAGUAACUACCAACGUCAUCAUCAUGAUCAAUUGAAGUGAAAUGGAUGAGGAAUGAAAAAUUAUCCUGAAAGAUUGGUAACAAAACCCAUUGGAUUACAGGAACCAUAUGAUAAGACGCUGUUGAUGGUAAAAUGAUCAUUAAUUUAUAUAUAAACUGGAGGAAAAGUGAAAAUAAAGGUGUUCACAAUCAACUGGAUCAUUAAAUUGUUGUUUGUUGGGUCAAGCAUAAAGUCUGUUUUAAAUGGUCAACAUGAUUCUCGUGGUAAAUUGUCACUGGUGUUAAAUUGGUAAAUGAUUGUGGUCAAUCUUACAGACACACUAAUAUCCACUUAAUCUGUAUCAAGGUGAAUUUGUAUUUUCAAUCGUGCAUCUAAAUUGUUUAUCACAAAUUAGUUUAAUUGGGAUUAUUUUCAUCUUCUCUUGUCUCAUCAUCAUCACGACACAAAACUAUGACGAUAAACUAUUACCACCAACCUCCCAUUUCCUAUUUACCUCUGGAUCUCUCGAUUUCACUCUCACGAGAAACAAUAAUAAUCAAAUAGUGAAUCAAAAUCUCAUAUCAAUUUCAAUGUUUCUUGUGUGUUUGUUUAGUUUUAAGUGGUAAAAUCAACAUCAUCUUAAAGCUAAAACUUUUAAUAAGUAUAUAAAUAUAUACACCAUGGUGGAAAAAAUGAAAACAGAGAAAUCAUAUUAAGUCUGUGAAACUGAAAAUUUGAGAUAAAACAGAAAAUAAGUUAAGUCACUUAACUGUUAUACUUUUUUUCACCAACCUUUUAUUAAGCUUUUAUUUUUGUUCUUCUCAUCCAUCUUUUCUUCCUCAUCAUCCUCAUCAACAUCUCUCUCUCUCUCUCUUUCUCCUCCUCUUUUUCUAGUAUCACUUUUUUUUAAUAAUCAUAAUACACUGAAUUGUAUUCAAAAGCAAAAACACAGAGACCAACAACUCAUAUUGUCUCCAAUUCAUCAUCCAUCUUUUUUCUCAUCAUCUUGUCUCUCUCCCACUCUCAUUGACUGUUCUUGCUCUCUCUCUCUCUCUCUCUCUCUCUCUCUCUGGUGUUUAUCUUCAUCAUCUUCCUGAUUCUACAAACAAACAAUUUAAAUUCUGUUACUUUUUUUUAUAGCAUUUUAUAGUUUACAAGUUAUCUGAUUUUGGAUUGAAAAUGAAUUCAGAAUGAAUUUAAUGUUAGAAAACAAAUAAUCACAGUAAACACACUGAAAUCUGUCAUGAUGACGAAGAUGAUGAUUCCCUUCACCCUCCCCAUACCUAAUCCAUAUCCAUUGUAAAUGUCAAUUAGUUUCAAGUACCAAGUUUGUUGUUAAAUUGUUAUGAUGCUAAAAAAAGAUGAGUUUCCCAAAAAUCUGUUAAUCUGUAAACAUUAUCAUAUGUGUAUUUGCCUUUUAUCACCUUCCUAAGCCUUUGAAUCCUUGUUUCCCUUUUUUUUCUGUGUAAUAAUAUGUUAUCAUAAUCACCACUAUCAUCAUAUGGAACAUCAUCUACCACCGCAUCAUCACACAAAACUGUCAACAAGCAAGAAGACAAGGAAGAUAAUGAUUUUUUUUCUACAAAAUCAAGUCCAAUAUAUACAAAUAUGGUUACUGUCCCUUCAAGGCUUCAAUGUUAUUCAUUCAAUUUCAAUGUUAUUCAAGACCAACUCUUGAUUGUUUUUUUCUGUCUCAACUUAUCUGUUAUCCGUCAUUUAAACUAAUUGUGUAUUUAAUACACACACACUCAUCAACAUUAUCAUCGCCAUCAUCAUCAUAAUUAUCAUCAUCCCUUUUUUUGAAUGAAUCUCCUUUUGCUUGA